GGAGCAGGAAACAGAUUGUCGCUCUCGGCCCGCAAGAACGACCCGCAGACGAGGCAUUUCUGUCUGUGUGACUCCUUGCAUCUGCUGAAUGGCUCUCCACAACAGAUAAAGGAAAGACAGGGCUUAGUGGGAGGUGAAGACAGAGCCUCUCAAAUUCUACCACCUCUGUGUGAUUCCUGGGUCUGCUACUUCCUACCUGGCUAUUACUCUAUGCCUCAGUUUCUUCAUUUCAAAACUGAGGUAAGUCUAGCAUCCGUCUCACAGCACAGUUAAGAGCUUUAAACAGGAUAAUACCAGUAAAGCUCUUAGCACAGAGCCUGACAUCUACUAAGUACCCAAUAAUCAGGCAAGUGUGCAGCGAACUUGAUCCCUCUUCAAAUGUGACGGG
RNAcentral lists this long non-coding RNA (388 nucleotides) under Mustela putorius furo (domestic ferret). RNAcentral's name for it is "lncRNA (ENSMPUG00000030419.1)". Lineage: Eukaryota; Metazoa; Chordata; Mammalia; Carnivora; Mustelidae. The record is from RNAcentral.